GACGUCGUCUGGAGGUUACUGGUCGUUGCCGUGUCGGCCCGCUUUUUCGGUCAUCUUUCUUCUUCAGCCUUAAGGGCUCUGUAAUACAUAUUUAGUAAAUAAUAUGAGAAGAGAAUUUUCCGCUACCUCUUUUACUCACAUGUUGAAUUAUCGUUUGCCGAGCUUCCUUCGACUUUCGCCUUGUUCGAUUCGAUGCCAUUCGGAGGUACC
Molecule: long non-coding RNA, 210 nt
Filed under: Elaeis guineensis (African oil palm)
Lineage: Eukaryota; Viridiplantae; Streptophyta; Magnoliopsida; Arecales; Arecaceae
Description: long non-coding RNA (EGUI_LNC017309)
Source: RNAcentral